Molecule: ribosomal RNA, 253 nt
Filed under: uncultured bacterium
Lineage: Bacteria
Description: partial 16S ribosomal RNA
Rfam family: Bacterial small subunit ribosomal RNA
Source: RNAcentral
AGGCAAGACCGCGAGGUGGAGCAAAUCUCAAAAAGCCGUCCCAGUUCGGAUCGCAGGCUGCAACCCGCCUGCGUGAAGUUGGAAUCGCUAGUAAUCGCGGAUCAGCAUGCCGCGGUGAAUACGUUCCCGGGCCUUGUACACACCGCCCGUCACACCAUGAGAGUCGGGAACACCCGAAGUCCGUAGCCUAACCGCAAGGGGGGCGCGGCCGAAGGUGGGUUCGAUAAUUGGGGUGAAGUCGUAACAAGGUACC